CUUGGCGACCAUAGCACUAUGGACCCACCUGAUCCCAUGCCGAACUCAGAAGUGAAACAUAGUAGCGCCGAUGGUAGUGUGGGGUCUCCCCAUGUGAGAGUAGGUCAUCGCCAGGU
RNAcentral lists this ribosomal RNA (116 nucleotides) under Photobacterium sp. The record is from RNAcentral. RNAcentral also lists the same sequence under 2 other names. Lineage: Bacteria; Pseudomonadati; Pseudomonadota; Gammaproteobacteria; Vibrionales; Vibrionaceae.